Molecule: ribosomal RNA, 286 nt
Filed under: uncultured bacterium
Lineage: Bacteria
Description: partial 16S ribosomal RNA
Rfam family: Bacterial small subunit ribosomal RNA
Source: RNAcentral
UACGAAGGGGGCUAGCGUUGCUCGGAAUCACUGGGCGUAAAGCGCACGUAGGCGGCUUCUUAAGUCAGGGGUGAAAUCCUGGAGCUCAACUCCCAGAACUGCCUUUGAUACUGAGGAGCUUGAGUCCCGGGAGAGGUGAGUGGAACUGCGAGUGUAGAGGUGAAAUUCGUAGAUAUUCGCAAGAACACCCAGUGGCGAAGGCGGCUCACUGGCUCGUAACUGACGCUCAGGCGCGACAGCGUGGGAUCAAACAGGAUUAGAUGACCCGUCCGUAGUCAGACCCAAG